This 491-nucleotide ribosomal RNA is filed under the name uncultured bacterium. RNAcentral's name for it is "partial 16S ribosomal RNA". It matches the Rfam family "Bacterial small subunit ribosomal RNA", at positions 29 to 506 of the family's 1533-position model. The record is from RNAcentral.
AGUGAACGCUGGCGGUAGGCCUAACACAUGCAAGUCGAACGGCAGCACAGUAAGAGCUUGCUCUUACGGGUGGCGAGUGGCGGACGGGUGAGGAAUACAUCGGAAUCUACUUUUUCGUGGGGGAUAACGUAGGGAAACUUACGCUAAUACCGCUUACGACCUACGGGUGAAAGCAGGGGAUCUUCGGACCUUGCGCGAUUGAAUGAGCCGAUGUCGGAUUAGCUAGUUGGCGGGGUAAAGGCCCACCAAGGCGACGAUCCGUAGCUGGUCUGAGAGGAUGAUCAGCCACACGGGAACUGAGACACGGUCCAGACUCCUACGGGAGGCAGCAGUGGGGAAUAUUGGACAAUGGGCGCAAGCCUGAUCCAGCCAUACCGCGUGGGUGAAGAAGGCCUUCGGGUUGUAAAGCCCUUUUGUUGGGAAAGAAAAGCAGCAGGUUAAUACCCCGCUGUUCUGACGGUACCCAAAGAAUAAGCACCGGCGAACUUCGU